GACGAACGCUGGCGGCGUGCUUAACACAUGCAAGUCGAACGGUGAACGAGGGAGCUUGCUCCCUCCGGAUCAGUGGCGAACGGGUGAGUAACACGUAAGCAAUCUGCUCCGAACUCUGGGAUAAUCGUUGGAAACGACGUCUAAUACCGGAUACGACGCGGGAGGGCAUCCUCUCCGCGUGCAAAGAACUUCGGUUGGGGAUGAGCUCGCGGCCUAUCAGCUUGUUGGUGAGGGAACGGCUCACCAAGGCGACGACGGGUAGGCGGCCUGAGAGGGUGACCGGGCACAAUGGGACUGAGACAGGGACCAGUCUCCUACGGGAGGCAGCAGUGGGGAAUAUUGCACAAUGGGCGCAAGCCUGAUGCAGCAACGCCGCGUGAGGGAAGACGGCCUUCGGGUUGUAAACCUCUUUUAGCAGGGAAGAAGCGAAAGUGACGGUACCUGAAGAAAAAGCACCGGCUAACUACGUG
RNAcentral lists this ribosomal RNA (470 nucleotides) under uncultured bacterium. Its description in RNAcentral is "partial 16S ribosomal RNA". It matches the Rfam family "Bacterial small subunit ribosomal RNA", at positions 28 to 507 of the family's 1533-position model. The record is from RNAcentral.